Molecule: long non-coding RNA, 3978 nt
Filed under: Varroa destructor (honeybee mite)
Lineage: Eukaryota; Metazoa; Arthropoda; Arachnida; Mesostigmata; Varroidae
Description: uncharacterized LOC111244188
Source: RNAcentral
CCCAGUUUUUCUACUGGUGAACCUGCAUAGUAAUGUAAUUCAGUCUAAGCAAUGAAGCAUCGAGGUUCAGUCAUUGACCGAUGGCAACGCGCACGGAAAAGGUGGCGGGUCUUACCACCAGCUUUCAAUGAACUUUUCUAACCUUUCUCGAAUCAAACGACUUCUUGAAGCUAUCCAUGUCUAGACGCCGCAACAAACAGCGACGAAAUCUGGCUCCAGAUGAACUUGAUCGAGUAUACCCACUGGGUUUAGAGGAUUCCAUACAUCUGUAAUGUCAAUCGUCAGCGUCUACCAGAGAACGAACCUUUGGCAUCGCCCUCCUAAAUUAAUAGCUCGGUAUAAUUUUGCCGAUGCAAAUUCGAUUAUGAAAUCGAAAAAAGAUCGCAGGAUAUUUGGUCGCUUGAAAUGUGUUAUUAUUCGCUAGAGAAAAGCACACAAAGGAGGUCCAAAAAAGGUAUCUUCGAAAAGUCGACGUCCGGCUCUGAGGACCAGUAUCGGCCUAGCUUGGAAGUGCAUAAGAUCAGAAUCGGAAAUCGAAUAACAUGCACUCUGAGAACUAUUAUGGAGAAUGGUGCGAUAUUUCGGCACUCUAUUGGCGUUCAAGACAAGCGACCGAUACGACACUGAAUGUUUUCUUCUCCAGCGAUUAGUCGAGUUAUCGAUUACAUUGAAAACGCCGAACGGAAGAUCGUAACUUUGAAAUAAAGUUGCUCAAGUUGACGUAGCAGGUGGAACAGCCUAUAAGCUUUCAUGGGCCUUUCACCAGGACUUCAGGACCUGCUAAUUCUUUCUCCAACCUCAGUAUCAUCGAUAUUACUUUUAUUCGGCCUCAACCAUACGGUUGAUCACCUAGACCCUUUAGGGCGAUAGCUACUAGGAAACGAGGUGAUUAUAAGCGUCUGUCAUUCGCGACAGACCGGCGGAAUAACUCAUUGCAGCUAGAAGAAAAAAUCGUUUUGAUUGAAGCAUUGCUUAAAGCGUGGAACGUACGUCUUUACAGAAAGUUGUUUACGACAAUGAGGUCGGCUUCAUGAUGCCGUGAUUGUUGCUGAUAUAUAUUUUGGCAGUGAUUCUACCUGUGUAACAAAUACUUGCUGUACAGUAAGAACUACAGACAUUGAUCAGUGUCAAGAUGCGUGCAGGAAGUACAAACAAUGGUAUAUUAUUUAAGUAUAUGGAGCCUAGACAAGCAAAUAAGAGUGGGAAUAAGCCGCGGUAACUCAGUGGUUGGCACCAUUCGUUGGCAGCGGUGAUAUUGCCCUACGGCGGUGAUACUCACGUCCUUCCCGGAGUCCAGCGUUGUGAGCACCUUCCCUCAGGAAGAUUUAACAUGGAGUGUAAACGAUUCAUCGGCGACCCCGUUUAUACUACUGACCCCGGGGCGGAGUCCAAGUUUCGGGCGCCUUGCCCCAAAAUGACCCCGCUCCUCGCAGUUAGAGCACGUGCAGGCGUUUGUCGACCUAGUUAUCAUGCCGGGAGGUGCGAUAACUUCGAGAAGGUGCGCCUGGACUUCACGGACUAUUUGAGAGCCUUGGGCUGCACGGCUUCCUAGGUUUUGGUGACGGUCGACUAUUGUGCUCGUUUCAACCAAUUCGUGCUCAUGAAGGGCCACGCCUGGACCUGUAGUUGGAGCACGAGAAGUUUCGCUAUGUUCCUUCGAAGGCCUCGAAACCUUCGUGACUACAAAUCGACCUGUUUCACAUCGCGAAAAGUAACUACCUCAGAUGAAGCUACAUUGGGCAUAUCCAAUGCUACGGUGUAGUUUAAUGUAUAGAUCAGGUGGUUACGGAAAAACUAGGCCCCUGAAAGCCGAAGGGCACAGUUCGCUCUACAAAAUGCUAGCACAAAUGCGUUUUUGUUUAACAAGUCCAUGAGCCACGACUUGCGCAGACAUCGCUGAACUGCUUUUCACCUACCAAGCCCUACUGCCCAAAAAGUUUGCCGGUCGUAAGGAUGCAAAGGGCCUAUGUGCUGUGGUAUUGUACCUGUGCGCGCACCAUCAGCUCUGGGAUUAGCAACAGAAAGCAGAAAGGGGCACGAGCAGAAGAAGUCCGGGGACGGUGCCAACGUGUUGCUGCAGCGUUUAUAUAGGACGUUGCUAUUUUACUGCCAUGGGGCUUUUGCUAUAAUGAGUAAACUGGCAACACAAUUAUAGCGUCGCUACUCCUCCGGAACGCUAACUCACUGUGAAAGCAAGGCAAAAAACCAGGACAAGCAAGGUUUUACUUCCUCUACUUAGCAGCUUGGAUGUGUUUAAGUAUAAUUUUUUGUACGAGCUAUAGCCGGAAAGAUGUUACCAAAUCAUAUUAAAUAAGUGAGAUAACUUCUAGUUUCUCAAAAAAGCAAAAAGGGAAAUUCAGUACUCUUAGUGAUUAAAUGGAAAACGUUCACACGAGUGUUUAAAUUAGUUAGCGUUGGCAUUACGCCACUGAUAUCUAACGCAGAAUUAUUAGUUUUUUUAACUAACGAAGGCCAUUUAAGGAUGCACCACCCAGGGGAACCUGAGGCAAUGCAGAUUUCUCAGUCGCUUUGAAGCCUAAGCCCAGUCUGGCAGACACUCAUGGAACGGCUCGCGAGAGUUUAACGAUAUCGAGAUAGGUUGAACAAAGACCCUCGGGGCGUUCUGGGUGCGCUUUGAAGUGCAUUCGGCCCCGCCUUAAUUUUUCGGUGUCACUGGCAGGGAAGCCUGUAGUAUUCGACAGGGUUAAGAAGCACAUAUAUCACUUCACGAGCCAGGGUUAUUCGAAAUCAAUAACGCUACAGAAGAUAUAGAGCCGGUCAGUGACAUAGUGCGUCGCUAUCAAAAUCAUAUUUUUUUGAUGUGGGUUGCUCGGGUAUGUUAUUAGUCUUAGGUUUGUUAUUAGGGCUUAUUCCAAGGCAACGAUCAAAUUGUUCAACGUGAAUUGUUUACUCAACAAAAUCGACUACAUACAAAUUUACUUAGAGAUGUUUGCCGGAAGAAACGACAAUUUAAAACCCACGUGAAAAUCGUUUUCUUCUAAAACCAACGUGUCGGCCGAAGACGUGUGCCUCUAUUUAAAUAAGAAAACUAUUUCGAAGUAAAAAAAAAUGCAUAAAACGUAAGAACGAAGUGCAAACUUGUGCAGGUACAGGCUGGGCAGUGCGACAAAUAGAGUGUAAGGCAUAAGUAUUUUACUUAAAUUCAUAUCUGGAAAAUUUUCAUUAGCCGUUCUCGAUUGAGGACUGUUUCUUAAUCGAGCUAGUCUUGAAAACAAUCUCACAAUACGAUCGAUAUGUUAUAGAACAGCUUUGAAAGCUAAAUCGUCGCAUCAUGGAACUAAAUCCGACAUCGGCUAGUUGUGAAGCCUGCGCUCGAAGCGUACCAAAAAAAGCGAUUAUUAAAUAGAUCUUUCACUCUUUUUUUGAAGCUCUUAUCCUCGUUGGAGUGAAUUCACAUUGUUCAAUAACUGCCGCAAUGAAAGCGAAUAUUUGGCGGGGGCCUUACGCAGUUACGCAAGAGCCUAAAUUGGUUUCCUUCAUGGCUCGCGACUAGAGGCCGUGUUACAUGCUGUCUGUAUUUAUUUAUUCAAUCGCGAAUCUAGUCGAGAUGGGCUCUGAAAACAAAUACGUCCGACCCAUUGUAUGUUUAUUGCAUACAGUUAUAAUGACUGUUUAUGCAGACGAUAAAGUAAUAACAUGUUUUAAACAGUUUGGCGGUAUAAUUGAGAACCUGAGUAACUGCAAUUCGUCAAUAAACAGAGCUGAGUUAAUUUCAAAAUAGUGUUCUUAGUAACAGACACGCAUAGGCAGGAGGGGCGUGUUUCUUAACUUUUUUCGGUAUGAAGCACAAGCGUGUACGUGCCGUAGGGCGAUGUGAGAGAUGUUAGCUACUACGUACGUCGUAAUAAAACCUAUUUUUUUGCCGUGCUAAGAGUUUGUCUUGUUAUAUUCAGAUGAUUAUUUAGAUGCAUGGGCAUGUGACACACAUUGCGGCCAACUAAAUACGGCUAUUAGGUA